UGCGGUAUCCUGACCGUGCUAAGGUAGCAUAAUCAUUUGCCUUCUAAUUAAAGGCUUGUAUGAAUGGACACACGAAAAUUACACUGUCUCCUUUAAGUAAAUAAAAAUUAAUCUCUCUGUGAAAAAGCAGACAUAUAACUAAAGGACAAAAAGACCCUAUAGAACUUUAUUAAAUUGAUUUUAUUAAAAAUUAAUAUAAAUACAUAAAAUUAACAUAAUUUAGUUGGGGCGACUAAGGAAUAACCAUAUCUUCCUUUAUACAUGAGGCUUAUAAGCCCCACACAUGACCCAUUUAAUGUUCACAAGACUAGUUACCUUAGGGAUAACAGACUAAUCCCCCUUAAGAGCCCAUAUUGACAGGGGGGUUUGGCACCUCGAUGUUGGCUUAGGAA
RNAcentral lists this ribosomal RNA (392 nucleotides) under Flabelligena sp. A MB. Its description in RNAcentral is "partial 16S ribosomal RNA". It matches the Rfam family "Bacterial large subunit ribosomal RNA", at positions 1932 to 2543 of the family's 2925-position model. Lineage: Eukaryota; Metazoa; Annelida; Polychaeta; Terebellida; Acrocirridae. The record is from RNAcentral.